GCUGGGCAUGGUGGUGCAUGCCUGUAAUCCCAGCUACUCUGGAGGCUGAGACAUGAGAAUUGCUUGAACCCAGGAGGCAGAGGUUGCAGUGAGCUGAGAUUGCCCCACUGGACUCCAGCCUGGGCAACACAGUGAGACCCUGUCUCAA
Unclassified non-coding RNA from Macaca fascicularis (crab-eating macaque), 148 nucleotides. It matches the Rfam family "Metazoan signal recognition particle RNA". From Rfam's summary of the family: The signal recognition particle (SRP) is a universally conserved ribonucleoprotein. It is involved in the co-translational targeting of proteins to membranes. The record is from Ensembl. NCBI's taxonomy places the organism in Eukaryota, Metazoa, Chordata, Mammalia, Primates, Cercopithecidae.